UAGGUAGCUUAACCUUCGGGAGGGCGCUUACCACUUUGUGAUUCAUGACUGGGGUGAAGUCGUAACAAGGUAACCGUAGGGGAACCUGCGGUUGGAUCACCUCCUUACCUGAAGAUAC
Molecule: ribosomal RNA, 118 nt
Filed under: Candidatus Pantoea formicae
Lineage: Bacteria; Pseudomonadati; Pseudomonadota; Gammaproteobacteria; Enterobacterales; Erwiniaceae
Description: partial 16S ribosomal RNA
Rfam family: Bacterial small subunit ribosomal RNA
Source: RNAcentral